GUGCUUGCUUUGGCAGCACGUGUACUAAAAUUGGAACGGUACAGAGAAGAUUAGCGUGGCCCCUGCACAAGACCAUGACUCAACACAGAUGCAGCUUCUCUUA
Small nuclear RNA from Chionomys nivalis (European snow vole), 103 nucleotides. Lineage: Eukaryota; Metazoa; Chordata; Mammalia; Rodentia; Cricetidae. The record is from RefSeq and is a predicted model, not a curated record.